UACGGGGGGGGCAAGCGUUGUUCGGAAUUACUGGGCGUAAAGGGCUCGUAGGCGGCCAACUAAGUCAGACGUGAAAUCCCUCGGCUUAACCGGGGAACUGCGUCUGAUACUGGAUGGCUUGAGUUCGGGAGAGGGAUGUGGAAUUCCAGGUGUAGCGGUGAAAUGCGUAGAUAUCUGGAGGAACACCGGUGGCGAAGGCGGCAUCCUGGACCGACACUGACGCUGAUGAGCGAAAGCUAGGGGAGCAAACGGG
This 253-nucleotide ribosomal RNA is filed under the name uncultured bacterium. Its description in RNAcentral is "partial 16S ribosomal RNA". It matches the Rfam family "Bacterial small subunit ribosomal RNA", at positions 524 to 776 of the family's 1533-position model. The record is from RNAcentral.